Molecule: long non-coding RNA, 292 nt
Organism: Gambusia affinis (western mosquitofish)
Lineage: Eukaryota; Metazoa; Chordata; Actinopteri; Cyprinodontiformes; Poeciliidae
Exons: 3
Source: RefSeq, a predicted model, not a curated record
AGCUGCAUUCGGUUAAACCAGGUAUCAUCCUGGGAAAACUUUUCCUUUUUCCUGGAAACACAAAGACAAGUUGAGACAGUUGAUGGUACAACGGCAACGUUGAGGACACUACGGUGGGUGGAUCCUUUUCUCAAGUUCCCACAAAAAUACAGAAAGGGAACUGUGAAAGGAAGCCAUGAUGAAGCUGCCCAAUGAAGACUCCCAUCGUCACACCUUGUAGUCGAGAUCAGCGUUCAUUCUACUAAACAUGUCAUAAACAGCUUCCACAGUGGAAGUGAAGUUGAUGAGAAAC